GUCUAUGGCCUGCCACCCUGAACACGCCUGAUCUUGUCUGAUCUCGGAAGCUAAGCUGGGUCGGGCCUGGUUAGUCCUUGGAUGGGUGACCACCUAGGAAGACCAGGUGCUGUAGGCG
This 118-nucleotide ribosomal RNA is filed under the name Pteropus alecto (black flying fox). The record is from RNAcentral. Lineage: Eukaryota; Metazoa; Chordata; Mammalia; Chiroptera; Pteropodidae.